UGCAUGGAUAUCCCCUGCUAGUUCCAAGGCUUGGAAACAACCCGGGCAGUAAUCUGGACCAAUGAUAAGAUUCACCUCAUUUGUUUCCCUUUCCUCAAGGAUCAUGAUCUUGUUCUGCCUGAUGUCCAGUGUUAGAAAACUGUCUUACAUGUUUUCUUCCAUUUCUUAGGUGUUUCAAGCAGAAAGGAUCAUUGUCUCUGAAUUCUAUCCAGAUUUUUCUUGUGGAUCAUGGACUACUGGUUAAAAACCCCUGGUGACUUUUUGUUAGAGUCAGAGACAAGUUCUUUUCCUGAGAAGGCUGCUAAACAAAAUAAUGAUCACAGGAAGUUUUGGUAUG
Molecule: long non-coding RNA, 337 nt
Organism: Canis lupus familiaris (dog)
Lineage: Eukaryota; Metazoa; Chordata; Mammalia; Carnivora; Canidae
Exons: 3
Source: RefSeq, a predicted model, not a curated record